RNAcentral lists this ribosomal RNA (253 nucleotides) under uncultured bacterium. Its description in RNAcentral is "partial 16S ribosomal RNA". It matches the Rfam family "Bacterial small subunit ribosomal RNA", at positions 524 to 776 of the family's 1533-position model. The record is from RNAcentral.
UACGUAGGGUGCAAGCGUUGUCCGGAAUUAUUGGGCGUAAAGGGUGCGUAGGUGGCGGGGUAAGUUUGAUGUGAAAUCUCCGGGCUCAACCCGGAAAAUGCAUUGAAUACUACUCUGCUGGAGGUUUGGAGGGGGGACUGGAAUUCUUGGUGUAGCAGUGAAAUGCGUAGAUAUCAAGAGGAACACCAGUGGCGAAGGCGAGUCCCUGGACAACACCUGACACUGAGGCACGAAAGCUAGGGGAGCAAACAGG